Gadus chalcogrammus (walleye pollock) is the source of this 1735-nucleotide long non-coding RNA. RefSeq lists it as uncharacterized. The record is from RefSeq and is a predicted model, not a curated record. NCBI's taxonomy places the organism in Eukaryota, Metazoa, Chordata, Actinopteri, Gadiformes, Gadidae. The transcript is spliced from 3 exons.
AAGACCACUCCCCAUCUCUACCCCAGCUGGAUUAACCCCUCCAUGAUAAUUCCUGGCUGCCUUGUCUCCCUGUAAAUAUAGAAACAGAGGCUUCUCAGCUGCUCCUUUCCACAACCUGAGCCCUCUUCUACUAUCCACAGCAUUUCAGGCUUCUCCUUAUGCAAAGCUGGCCAGCUAAAGAUGUCAGCAGCCGUUCAUGGUAGCCCUACCUCACACACAUCCCCAGCCAAUAAGGGGGGCUUGUGAGCUAACGUAUCACUAUAACACUAGGACUUGUUCUGAGCGCAUACAUUGCAGGUCUUACAGACUAGCUGCAUCACCAGGGACGCCUACACCCAUCUCCCUCUCUGAGGUGCAUAGUAUCUUGCCACCAUGUCUGACACUGAGGACCAGGAUCAGAUGGAGGGUAAGUGUAAAAUAUACAAUUUAUAGAAAUUAGUUUAAUUUCUAGCUAUUUAGUUAUAAUAAUUUCAUUAUUAUAUAAGACAGGGCUACUAGGGCUUCAUUUGUAUAUAACCACCAAAGUGUCAGUCCUACAGACUCUAUGGGGAGGAGUCAUCGUUCCUAUUAUAUCUCUGUGGGAUUGACGCUGCAAAGCUCUCUAUUUUUACAGUACUUCUUCAUAGGCCUAAACUGUGUGGACCACACCACACUGGCACCAAUGUAAACUAUAGAGAAGCGCAUUGAAAACUGCAAUCAAUAAGAUAAAAUAGACUAUUGACACAAAACUGAGAGAAUAAAAUAUUAACACAUUCAGUGUUUAUUUAAUUGAAUAAAUAUAUUUUAUGAUGCCCUACCAAUGAAAUGAAGCACAGAUCUGGUUCAAGCUUAAACAAUGUCUCCCCUAUGUGGUGAGAUAGAUGAAUAUGCUGUUACAGUGGGGUUAAUAGAUUACAAAAGUGAAAUGCAACAUUUUAUCUACAAGUGAAUGAAGUUCGGUCAAUCGGAAUAACAGGCAGUGGCUUUAGAUAUCGAUAUCUAAAAGAUAUCGAUAUCUAAAUAUUGAUGAUGAUAACAGCAUCUCAUUCAUGUUUGAAUAAGCAUUUCCAACAUAAUGUGAUGUUCAUGUUUUCUUCCACCACCCAUUUGUUUCUCAAAACAAAAGAAGAGGAAGGUAAACCGUAUUGAUCCAUAUUGCUAUAUUUAUUAUUUUACUAAUUUUUCAUCAAUGCCAAGCCAGCAAAAUAAUAUGGCAUGUGUUUGAUCCUACAAGCCUUGACAUUUCAGCUAUUUUUUAUUUAUGCUUAUCAAUCUGCUGUAGUCUUUGUAUGAUAUGAAAGUAUGAUAUGCCAUCUAUAACAAAACCACCCCUUCUGCAUUGUAGUCUGUAAUAAGAUCACAUAUAUAGUAGAUAAUUACGAUUAACUAUAUAUAUGUAUAAACAUAUUUUAAGAAAAAAUCCUGUAUGUGCUUUCAUGCUUAAUAAAUCUAUAUCUGAGAAAACUUUUUAAUUCUGGUAUUUAUUAAUUCAUUAUAGCUCACAUACUGAACUUGCAUCCUUAAUUCCCUCCCAAAAACAUCUACACUUUGGGUUUUCGUGAUCAUAUAUAAUUGCCUCAUGUGUUUUCCUUGAUCUUUUAAUUUAACGUCUGCAUGGUUUGUUUCUUCAACACUAGUAUCUCCAGUCAAGGAAAUGAGCCCGUUUUCACAUCCUGUCAAUGAGAUCUCAUUGACUCUCCUCCAUCCAUCGCCAUGUACUUCAUGAUCUGCGUCUCUCUUCUGUCCAUCCAUCUGU